CCUACGGGUGGCAGCAGUGAGGAAUAUUGGUCAAUGGACGAGAGUCUGAACCAGCCAAGUAGCGUGAAGGAUGACUGCCCUAUGGGUUGUAAACUUCUUUUAUAUGGGAAUAAAAUGUUCCAUGUGUGGUACUUUGUAUGUACCAUAUGAAUAAGGCUCGGCUAACUCCGUGCCAGCAGCCGCGGUAAUACGGAGGAUCCGAGCGUUAUCCGGAUUUAUUGGGUUUAAAGGGAGCGUAGGUGGAUUGUUAAGUCAGUUGUGAAAGUUUGCGGCUCAACCGUAAAAUUGCAGUUGAUACUGGCAGUCGUGAGUACAGUAGAGGUGGGCGGAAUUCGUGGUGUAGCGGUGAAAUGCUUAGAUAUCACGAAGAACUCCGACUGCGAAGGCAGCUCACUGGACUGCAACUGACACUGAGGCUCGAAAGUGUGGGUAUCAAACAGGAUUAGAUACCCCAGUAGUC
This 460-nucleotide ribosomal RNA is filed under the name uncultured bacterium. RNAcentral describes it as "partial 16S ribosomal RNA". It matches the Rfam family "Bacterial small subunit ribosomal RNA", at positions 338 to 795 of the family's 1533-position model. The record is from RNAcentral.